Molecule: ribosomal RNA, 281 nt
Filed under: uncultured Staphylococcus sp.
Lineage: Bacteria; Bacillati; Bacillota; Bacilli; Caryophanales; Staphylococcaceae
Description: partial 16S ribosomal RNA
Rfam family: Bacterial small subunit ribosomal RNA
Source: RNAcentral
CUCCUUUGACGUUAGCGGCGGACGGGUGAGUAACACGUUGGUAACCUACCUAUAAGACUGGGAUAACUUCGGGAAACCGGAGCUAAUACCGGAUAAUAUUUCGAACCGCAUGGUUCGAUAGUGAAAGGUGGUUUUGCUAUCACUUAUAGAUGGACCCGCGCCGUAUUAGCUAGUUGGUAAGGUAACGGCUUACCAAGGCGACGAUACGUAGCCGACCUGAGAGGGUGAUCGGCCACACUGGAACUGAGACACGGUCCAGACUCCUACGGGAGGCAGCAGGC